ACUGAUAAAGUGUUAAAACUUAGAUGAGAUGUUGGUGUUUUAUGGCUCACGAAUUCGCAAUAACGGAUACGUAUAGCAGUUCGUGUUAAUGACAUUAAUCCAAACUUAUUGAUGACGUGAUAACAUGGGCGUCGAAUCCCAUAUUAAUCAUGCUGAGGUUUUCUCGACGGGGUAAUGUGUAUAAAUGCAGUUAUAAAAUUAAAAGGGACAAGAUAGUCGACGUGACCCUCAUGUUUUCAUGGCAAUCAGUCAAUCACGUUACGCUUAUGAUCGCACCUGCGGUCAUUCGCGCAGUAUCCAUGAUUUUAAGCGGCAUGAAACACUUAAGUUAACUCCUUUGUACGAAAAUAUCAUGUCGUAGCCCUUCAAAUUAGAAAAGUGAGGAUGAUCUUGUCAAUGCUGAGAUUUUCAUGCAUCAACAGCCACUACAUCUGGAUCAGAUUGAACAAGAAACAGACAGCAAGGGUUGUCAGGUCAGAAACAGAAUGACACACAAACACAAGAAACUUCACAGGCAGAUCAACAUGCAAUUUGAAGACGUGUGAUAAAAUACAGAGAGGUGAAGUAGUGUGUCUUUCCAGAUGCCCAAAUCAUUCCCCCUUAAAAGAUGAGCCUGAAGAGGAGAUUUGGGAAGAUGCUGUUUCAUAAGUCGCUUUGCCAGAUCACCUGUGGUCGGGAUGUCUGCUAACAAGAUGCCUUGCUGGUCUGAGCGAGUUUAAAGUCUUACACAGACAGUCCAGAAGUUCUGAAGUCCAUCUUCGAUUUCAUUGAUGCUGUCAUCAUAUUAAGUACAGCAUGAGCCAGAAUAGAUGGGUGGUGGUGGCCAUAAGAAGACUGUCAACUAAACCAACAACAAAAUUCAUAUUUGCAGUUUUUCUUGAAUAAAGUUUUUCUAUUCAGAUUAAUAAAAUGACUUUUAAACAUGA
Paramisgurnus dabryanus is the source of this 926-nucleotide long non-coding RNA. RefSeq lists it as uncharacterized. The record is from RefSeq and is a predicted model, not a curated record. NCBI's taxonomy places the organism in Eukaryota, Metazoa, Chordata, Actinopteri, Cypriniformes, Cobitidae.